UAGGGAAUAUUGGUGAAUGGGCGAAAGCCUGACCCAGCAACGCCGCGUGUGCGAAGAAGGCCUUCGGGUCGUAAAGCACUUUUUUCCGAGAAGAGGAAGGACGAUACUGGCAGAAUAAGCCUCGGCUAUCUCCGUGCCAACAGCCGCGGUAAAACACAUGCGACGAGCGUUCUCCGGAUGUACUUGGCGUAAAGCGCGUGCAGGCGGACGGGGAAGUGGGGUGUGAAAGCGCCUGGCUAAACUGGGGGAGGUCUCUCAAGACUGCCGGUCUGGAGCAUGGUAGAGGAAGGCGGAAUUCCGGGUGUAGUGGUGAAAUGCGUAGAUAUCCGGAGGAACACCAGUGGCGAAAGCGGCCUUCUAGACCAUGACUGACGCUCAGACGCGAAAGCUAGGGUAGCAAAC
This 402-nucleotide ribosomal RNA is filed under the name uncultured bacterium. RNAcentral describes it as "bacterial SSU rRNA". It matches the Rfam family "Bacterial small subunit ribosomal RNA", at positions 355 to 773 of the family's 1533-position model. The record is from RNAcentral.